GCUGGGCCGAAGGGCUCCGGAGGGCCGCCGGAUCUCCUCGUCCCCGUUUCUUCUUCUCCCUUCUCCCGAAGUUUCGCGACCCAACCUUAUCAACCAAUGGAAUGUUCACUAGCAUUAUUGCUAUGACUCUCAGGUGCUCUUAAGCCACCAAGUGCCCAGGCGCCGUUCCAGAAGCUUUGCGUGUGUUAUCCUCCCUCGUCUACCGCAGCCGGUAGCCACGAGUGGCCUUUGGCAGAUGGAAACAGGGAAAAAUAUCAGAAUCAAGAUUCACAAUAAUUUCAGAGGAAUAGGAGUGUGGGUUAAAUCACUGAGAUACCAAGCAGUGCUACGUGUCCAGUUCAACAAGUCCUCUCUCCACCUCUGGGAUGGGAGGCGACCGGAGAGAGAGAAGGUACAAGACCGAGAACUUGAGCUGCCUGCAGGCUCAGGAAGAUCUGCGAGAAAAUCUGGCUCAAAGCUACCAUGAUGUCAAGUAUCAUUAAUGAAAAUGCCACCCCUGGAACAAGGUGGACUGAAGAGGAGUUUGGCACAACUUUUGCCAUUCUUUUCUGAGCAAAGUCGGCUGGACCCCCCUGGGUGAGGGGGAAAGUAGGGUCUGUAGAGUAGCCAGCAAAGACCUUGACUCCACAGAAGAUUGCACACCCGCCUUCCAGUGAUGCCAAGUAGGAGUCAGGGGACCCUGGAGGAGAACAGGAGGGGGCAGGCAGCCUGUGAGCCUUGC
Molecule: long non-coding RNA, 721 nt
Organism: Hyaena hyaena (striped hyena)
Lineage: Eukaryota; Metazoa; Chordata; Mammalia; Carnivora; Hyaenidae
Exons: 3
Source: RefSeq, a predicted model, not a curated record